GUUCUCUAAUUGUUCUGCCUUCAGUAUCUCCUGCUUAUCCUCUCCAGGUCACAUUGGUGUUAACGUAAAAAUGGUCAAAUUUGGGGGCACGGGCUAGGAUUCUGCAAAUUCCUCACAUCAAUACCUAAUCUGACCAGUAGGGGCCUUCUAGGUCAACUGAUGCCUUCAUUUACCUCUGAAUUCUUUAGAAUUGGAAUCAAGAAAAUCUCAAAUCUGGAGAAUCUAAAAAGCUUAGAUGUCUUGGAUCUUCAUGGAAAUCAGAUUACCAAAAUUGAAAAUAUUAAUCAUUUGUGUGAGUUGAGAGUUUUAAAUCUUGCCAGGAACUUUUUAAGUCAUGUUGAUAAUCUUAAUGGGCUGGAUUCACUAACUGAACUUAACUUGCGACACAAUCAAAUCACUUUCGUGAGAGAUGUGGAUAAUUUGCCCUGUCUCCAACAUCUCUUUCUCAGCUUCAACAAUAUAUCUAGUUUUGACAGUGUUUCCUGCCUUGCUGACUCUUCUUCCCUCUCGGACAUCACCUUUGAUGGCAAUCCCAUAGCUCAAGAGUCAUGGUACAAACACACUGU
RNAcentral lists this small RNA (566 nucleotides) under Pongo abelii (Sumatran orangutan). RNAcentral describes it as "processed transcript". Lineage: Eukaryota; Metazoa; Chordata; Mammalia; Primates; Hominidae. The record is from RNAcentral.